AAUAGCCAAAUUAUCUUAAGCAGCCAAUUUCAGCACGCUAAAGAUCGCUGAUCUAGUACGUCUUUUGCAGUAGAUAAGCAGCGUCAUAGUUCGACGUACCUUUAACCGGGCCUUAAGCAGCUAUCGUAUUUCAAGCCGUUAAAGAAAGUUUUUAUGCGCUUUUUAUUUUCAAGCAAAUCGUCUGUUUUCGAUCGAUAACCGCAAAAAAGUGGAAAAAAUGUGAAUUUCUGGGUAGCGACAUUACCACCGCUUGUAUGGCUGUGUGUAUUGAUGAUUUGUUAUCAGAUAUUUUUAUAUCGUAUGUCAGGUAGUUCUGUUAGUAGUGUGAGUGAGUGUAUUUUGGUAUUGCAUCUUUUAUUAACGUCCCUAUUUAUUAUUGAGAAUUGAACAUGGUAUUUCCUGCGUGAAGAGCGCUGCCUUUGUCGUUUGUACCAAUAGUUCUGUCGUUGCUCAUCAUGCUCUACCUAGACAAAAAGAAGUUAAGCAGCAAUCAUCGAACAUUCGAAGCGGUAAGGUUUUGUUCCAUAUGUUAUUGUUGUACACUUCUGUUUUUUUCUAACUUUUCUUUUCUGAGGGUUACUCAUCGAUGCUUUGCACAUUUGUAUCAUGCGUACCGAAGCGACAGCGACAAAAAAUCCAACAAACUGUAUUGGGCCUUUGGAACCAGUCUUAGCAUGCACAAACAUGGUGUCGAUCGCUGGAUCAAUAAGGGGAGAAGGGCAACGAGCGGUGAGAAUAUAAGAGGAACACAGAAUGGAAUGGCACAACAAUAGAAAAUUUUGGCAAGUGGAGAAAAUCGUAAACAAAAAUCCCGGAUAGGAAAGCCUUUACACCCAGCACUUAGUCCGAGUAGACGCAAAAAGUGUAAGACAUUGCAUUACAAAACUUAAAAGAUGCCGUUCAAUAUCGAAGAAACAGUGGAUAACAGAGAGCAUAAGGAGUUGUUAGCGGUUCCUGUACCUUGGGUACGAGCAAAGGAACGACGAAUUUGUUGUGGCCGAAUAUACGACAAAAGGAUCGGUUGAAUAAACUGAGCAUGUGUAGAGGAAAAUCACGAAAACAUUUACGACGUGUAUAGUAGUGUCUUCAAAGAAAGGCCGGUAGAGUGUGUGGACAGUGAAUGGAUGGACGAACUGAUUUGCAUCAUCUGGCUGGUUAAUCUGCUAUUAUUGCUCAUUGUGAUAUCGCAUUUCCCUUCUCAUUAAUGCACUAUACACGCCGUUUACCAGUUCACGCAACACAGCCUCCUUUAUUCAGCAUUCAACUAAGACUGGCGGCCUCUCAUCCAUUGCCGUUCCGCACUCACACCACUACAUUCAUACUCAGGAUCCCACACUCAUCAUCUUCUGAACUGGAACUGUCGGAUAUUUGUUCAACCGCAUGAUCAAAGUUUGUUGAUUCUAAAAGAAGAAAUAGAAUAUAAAAACAUAGUCUCAAAAGUAAAUUACUACACUGA
This is a long non-coding RNA of Anopheles stephensi (Asian malaria mosquito), 1456 nucleotides long. RefSeq lists it as uncharacterized. Lineage: Eukaryota; Metazoa; Arthropoda; Insecta; Diptera; Culicidae. The record is from RefSeq and is a predicted model, not a curated record. The transcript is spliced from 2 exons.